GCGGGCGUCUUCCAACGGUCAGGAAGCUCGGCUUUCAACCGAGUAACGUGGGUUCGAUUCCCACCGUCCGCACCA
This 75-nucleotide transfer RNA is filed under the name Lysobacterales bacterium. RNAcentral's name for it is "Xanthomonadales bacterium tRNA-Glu". It matches the Rfam family "tRNA". Rfam says of the family: Transfer RNA (tRNA) molecules are approximately 80 nucleotides in length. Their secondary structure includes four short double-helical elements and three loops (D, anti-codon, and T loops). Further hydrogen bonds mediate the characteristic L-shaped molecular structure. tRNAs have two regions of fundamental functional importance: the anti-codon, which is responsible for specific mRNA codon recognition, and the 3' end, to which the tRNAs corresponding amino acid is attached (by aminoacyl-tRNA synthetases). tRNAs cope with the degeneracy of the genetic code in two manners: having more than one tRNA (with a specific anti-codon) for a particular amino acid; and 'wobble' base-pairing, i.e. permitting non-standard base-pairing at the 3rd anti-codon position. The record is from RNAcentral. Lineage: Bacteria; Pseudomonadati; Pseudomonadota; Gammaproteobacteria; Lysobacterales.